GUGGGGAAUAUUGGACAAUGGGCGCAAGCCUGAUCCAGCCAUGCCGCGUGUGUGAAGAAGGCCUUUUGGUUGUAAAGCACUUUAAGCGAGGAGGAGGCUCCUUUAGUUAAUACCUAAAGAGAGUGGACGUUACUCGCAGAAUAAGCACCGGCUAACUCUGUGCCAGCAGCCGCGGUAAUACAGAGGGUGCGAGCGUUAAUCGGAUUUACUGGGCGUAAAGCGUGCGUAGGCGGCUUUUUAAGUCGGAUGUGAAAUCCCUGAGCUUAACUUAGGAAUUGCAUUCGAUACUGGAAAGCUAGAGUAUGGGAGAGGAUGGUAGAAUUCCAGGUGUAGCGGUGAAAUGCGUAGAGAUCUGGAGGAAUACCGAUGGCGAAGGCAGCCAUCUGGCCUAAUACUGACGCUGAGGUACGAAAGCAUGGGGAGCAAACAGGAUUAGAUACCCUGGUAGUCC
This 451-nucleotide ribosomal RNA is filed under the name uncultured bacterium. Its description in RNAcentral is "partial 16S ribosomal RNA". It matches the Rfam family "Bacterial small subunit ribosomal RNA", at positions 354 to 796 of the family's 1533-position model. The record is from RNAcentral.